This 253-nucleotide ribosomal RNA is filed under the name uncultured bacterium. RNAcentral's name for it is "partial 16S ribosomal RNA". It matches the Rfam family "Bacterial small subunit ribosomal RNA", at positions 524 to 776 of the family's 1533-position model. The record is from RNAcentral.
UACGUAGGGGGCUAGCGUUGUCCGGAAUCAUUGGGCGUAAAGCGCGUGUAGGCGGCCCGGUAAGUCCGCUGUGAAAGUCGGGGGCUCAACCCUCGGAAGCCGGUGGAUACUGUCGGGCUCGAGUACGGAAGAGGCGAGUGGAAUUCCUGGUGUAGCGGUGAAAUGCGUAGAUAUCGAGAGGAACACCUGCGGCGAAGGCGGGUUGCUGGGCUGACACUGACGCUGAGGCGCGAAAGCUAGGGGAGCGAACGGG